GAUGAAGAACGUAGCGAAAUGCGAUACGUAAUGUGAAUUGCAGAAUUCAGUGAAUCAUCGAGUCUUUGAACGCAAAUUGCGCCCCCUGGUAUUCCGGGGGGCAUGCCUGUCCGAGCGUCAUUGCUGCCCUCAAGCACGGCUUGUGUGUUGGGCCUCCGUCCUCCUCCCGGGGGACGGGCCCGAAAGGCAGCGGCGGCACCGCGUCCGGUCCUCGAGCGUAUGGGGCUUCGUCACCCGCUCUUGUAGGCCCGGCCGGCGCUUGCCGACACAUCAAUCUUUUUUCCAGGUUGACCUCGGAUCAGGUAGGGAUACCCGCUGAACUUAAGCAUAUCAAUAAGCGGAGGA
RNAcentral lists this unclassified non-coding RNA (345 nucleotides) under soil metagenome. Its description in RNAcentral is "partial contains 5.8S ribosomal RNA, internal transcribed spacer 2, and large subunit ribosomal RNA". The stretch from base 1 to 120 matches the Rfam family "5.8S ribosomal RNA", at positions 35 to 154 of the family's 154-position model. The record is from RNAcentral.